RNAcentral lists this ribosomal RNA (406 nucleotides) under uncultured bacterium. RNAcentral describes it as "bacterial SSU rRNA". It matches the Rfam family "Bacterial small subunit ribosomal RNA", at positions 354 to 777 of the family's 1533-position model. The record is from RNAcentral.
GUGGGGAAUUUUGCGCAAUGGGGGGAACCCUGACGCAGCAACGCCGCGUGCGGGAUGAAGGCCUUCGGGUUGUAAACCGCUUUCAGCAGGGAAGAUAGUGACGGUACCUGCAGAAGAAGCCCCGGCUAACUACGUGCCAGCAGCCGCGGUAAUACGUAGGGGGCGAGCGUUAUCCGGAUUCAUUGGGCGUAAAGCGCGCGUAGGCGGCCCGUCAAGCGGAACCUCUAACCCGAGGGCUCAACCCCCGGUCGGGUUCCGAACUGGCAGGCUCGAGUUUGGUAGAGGAAGAUGGAAUUCCCGGUGUAGCGGUGGAAUGCGCAGAUAUCGGGAAGAACACCGAUGGCGAAGGCAGUCUUCUGGGCCAUCAACUGACGCUGAGGCGCGAAAGCUGGGGGAGCGAACAGGA